Molecule: ribosomal RNA, 702 nt
Filed under: uncultured Clostridium sp.
Lineage: Bacteria; Bacillati; Bacillota; Clostridia; Eubacteriales; Clostridiaceae
Description: bacterial SSU rRNA
Rfam family: Bacterial small subunit ribosomal RNA
Source: RNAcentral
GCCUAACACAUGCAAGUCGAGCGAUCUUCUUCGGAAGAGAGCGGCGGACGGGUGAGUAACGCGUGGGUAACCUGCCCUGUACACACGGAUAACAUACCGAAAGGUAUGCUAAUACGGGAUAACAUAAGAAAGUCGCAUGGCUUUCUUAUCAAAGCUUUUGCGGUACAGGAUGGACCCGCGUCUGAUUAGCUAGUUGGUAAGGUAACGGCUUACCAAGGCGACGAUCAGUAGCCGACCUGAGAGGGUGAUCGGCCACAUUGGAACUGAGACACGGUCCAAACUCCUACGGGAGGCAGCAGUGGGGAAUAUUGCACAAUGGGCGAAAGCCUGAUGCAGCAACGCCGCGUGAGCGAUGAAGGCCUUCGGGUCGUAAAGCUCUGUCCUCAAGGAAGAUAAUGACGGUACUUGAGGAGGAAGCCCCGGCUAACUACGUGCCAGCAGCCGCGGUAAUACGUAGGGGGCUAGCGUUAUCCGGAAUUACUGGGCGUAAAGGGUGCGUAGGCGGUCUUUCAAGUCAGAAGUGAAAGGCUACGGCUCAACCGUAGUAAGCUUUUGAAACUGUAAGACUUGAGUGCAGGAGAGGAGAGUGGAAUCCCUAGUGUAGCGGUGAAAUGCGUAGAUAUUAGGAGGAACACCAGUUGCGAAGGCGGCUCUCUGGACUGUAACUGACGCUGAGGCACGAAAGCGUGGGGAGCAAACAGG